RNAcentral lists this non-coding RNA (23 nucleotides) under Mus musculus (house mouse). The record is from RNAcentral. Lineage: Eukaryota; Metazoa; Chordata; Mammalia; Rodentia; Muridae.
UCAAAUUGAAUGUCCCUCCCCGA